GAUGGUGCACUUCUACACCCUCCAUCAUUGAGUCCAUCCUCACUCCCUCCGUCACCAUCUGGUACGCUGCUGCCACUGACCUCCAGGGCCUUGAGACCUGCAGGAAAGAGAAACGAGGAAACAGGAAGAAACAAAUCCAGACCGAGACCAGACAAGACAAGAGCAUAGCAUAGGCUGUGUGAAUCCAUUCAUUUCAAAAGG
Long non-coding RNA from Larimichthys crocea (large yellow croaker), 201 nucleotides. RefSeq lists it as uncharacterized. NCBI's taxonomy places the organism in Eukaryota, Metazoa, Chordata, Actinopteri, Sciaenidae. The transcript has 2 exons. The record is from RefSeq and is a predicted model, not a curated record.